This 1229-nucleotide ribosomal RNA is filed under the name Spirophthalmidium sp. 13207. RNAcentral describes it as "bacterial SSU rRNA". It matches the Rfam family "Eukaryotic small subunit ribosomal RNA", at positions 1160 to 1801 of the family's 1831-position model. Lineage: Eukaryota; Foraminifera; Miliolida; Ophthalmidiidae. The record is from RNAcentral.
AAGGGCACCACAAGAACGCGUGGAGCAUGUGGCUUAAUUUGACUCAACGCGGGAAAUCUUACCGGGUCCGGACACACUGAGGAUUGACAGGCUCUUCAGUUGUCUAGCCUUUUUAAAAACCAAUAUACUUCUCCUUUAUUAUAUAAAGGGUUGUAUUCUUUUAAAUUGAUUCGAUCAUCGAUCAAAUAUGCUAGUCCUUUCAUGAUUGUGUGGUAGGUGGUGCAUGGCCGUUCUUAGUUCGUGGUGUAAACUGUCUGCUUAAUUGCGUUUCAUUACGUGUUUCUAAUAGAACACUGGUUGUUAGGCUCCCUCUAUAUAUAUAAUAUAGGGGUGCUAUUGCAUUCCUUUAUUAUUUUUAAAAGGGCCUUGUAUGCUUAAGCCGGUGAAAUGAAACCGGAAGGCAACGAACGUGACCGCAGCCUCUUGUUGCCUUUUGUUUUGCCCUUUUACUUGUUAAAAACAAGGCAAAUAAUAUACAGAGGCUUUAUAUAAAACUAGAGGGANCGCUAGAAAUACUCGUUAAAACGGAGGAAGGUGGCGGCAAUAACAGGUCUGUGAUGCCCUUAGAUGUUCCGGGCCGCACACGUGCUACAAUGAUUAUAGCAGUGAGCAUCUUUAGAACAUCUAAACGUACUUAAAAGGAGACAGGUAUAUAGCACUAGCAUGUUGUAACCUUCCCUUUUAAUUUAACCUGCUUUGAAAGUAAGCAGGGAAUCAAUGAGAAGUCGUAGUUUCCCUUUAUUAUUGUUAUUUACUCUUUUAUAAAUGUAGUAUUAACAAUCAAUAUUGAAGCACAUCUAUAUGCUUUAGUGUUCAACUGUAAUGCAUAUAAGGGGUUUUCAGUUUUAACUAAUACCCCUUGCUUUACAGCUAAUAGCAUGUGCUUAAAAAUAAAACAAGUCUCUGUUGCUUUGGUACACUUAUAACGAGACUGCUUUUAAAAUUCGUGGUAGGGACAGACCAUUGUUAAUUGUUGGUCUCGGUCUUAACUAGGAAUGCCUUGUACGGGUCUUUGGUUCAACAAACCACCCGGAAUAUGUCCCUGCCCUUUGUACACACCGCCCGUCGCUCUUACCGAUGAACUACGCUGUGAGUUUAAGGGACUGGCUUUAGUCUUUAUAUAGCCAUAUAUAUAACUAUAUACCUAUAUAGUUGUUUAGUGCUAUGGGCUAGCUAUGGAAACUUAUGCGAACAGUGUGGUUUAAAGGAAAGAGAAGUCGAACAAGGCA